RNAcentral lists this long non-coding RNA (4577 nucleotides) under Daucus carota (carrot). RNAcentral describes it as "long non-coding RNA (DCAR_LNC005920)". The record is from RNAcentral. Lineage: Eukaryota; Viridiplantae; Streptophyta; Magnoliopsida; Apiales; Apiaceae.
ACCAAUUGAUUUCGUAAGGCCAAGUGUCUGGCACUCUUCCAUGGCUGUCCAAACAGAUUUGAUAUCCAUCGGGACAAUAUCUUCAACGUUUACUGGAAAAGGUACCCCGGGCUUCAUGCUCACUGGCCAAUGUAUCAGAUACUGAUCAACAUACGCGAACUUCAGCUUCCUGCACAAGAAUAAACACAUAAGGCCUUGGUUCAAGUAAAUACAAAUGAACAAGUGGUGCAUCUGCACUACUUCAGAGUUGCUUGAAGAGCAGGGAGGACGCGAUCUCCAUGAUUAUCAGUACACCAGAGCUUAGAGGUGAUGAAGACUUCAUCCCGAGACUUGAUUAGGCCAAGACUCAGAGCUUGAGAUAUGGCUUCACCAAGAGCUUCCUCUGUUUGGUAAAGAGCAGCAGUAUCAAACAUCCUGUAACCGAGCUCAAUCGCUUCAAGCACUGCUUUUAUAACAGUCUCGGGUCCUGGAAACGGAUCAGCUGCUGUCCCCAGUCCCAGAACUGGCAUAGGCCUCGCGUUCCCAGAACUCAAAGUAACCUGUGGAAUACUAAGUGAUGCCAUUUUUUUACCUGCCAAGCACCUCUGGUUUGUAUGGUUAUAAUUUAGCGAUCUACUGUUUUAGCUCCGACUAUUUCAGAAUCCUACUCAUGCCACUACUUAUAUAUGGUAAGGACUUGGGUCCCGGGUGAGCUAUUGAACAUGUGAGUCUGACAUACAAAAAUACAAAAGAACAUAAUGCACAGGCCUAUAAGAUAAGUAUAGUUGAUUAAAAUUUGUAAUUUGUGUGGUUAUUAUGUAUUGUAAUGUAUUCUCAUUUAUAAGUAUCUUAUAAGAUUAAGUGUUCAAUUCUUUUUAACUACUGUCACUGUUAGAGAAUCAUAUGAUAUCUGAUCAUGAAGAUGGGAUCAAUCCUAGUAGUACUGGUACUUGUUAAUGCAGUUCUACAUGGGCUUCAAGCUGUGGCAAAUCCACCUGAUUUGAUCAAGAUUCAGAGUGCUGUUGCAAAAGGAGCAGGUGCACAUUAAUAUCUUAUUACCAUGUAACUUGAAAUUUCGAAUGUCUUUAACUGUUUCUGUGUGCAGUGUGUUUGGAUGGGAGUCCACCUGCCUACCAGCUUGACCGGGGGAAGGACAAAGGAGUUAACAAGUGGCUGUUACACUUGCAGGUUUGUCAGAUUUUGUCGUAAUUGGUACUGAUAACCUCUCUGUAGUGAUAAAAAGUCUCGGUACCUAGUGGUGAUUGGUAUUAAUAUAUAAACCCUUCUUAUGUGAUAACCUCUUUAAAGUGAUAAUUUUUUUCCCUCCCAAGGAUAUGGCUUUAGAUACUGUAUAAUGUGACUGAAGUUCUUUGAGAGGUAGCCUACUGGCUGGCUUAAUAUGGUUAUCAAUUCGUAUUACAGGGAGGAUACUGGUGCACUACAGUUGAAGAAUGCAGCAUGAGAAUGAAUGACAGCAGCGGUCUUGGUUCAUCUAUUAAAAUGACGAGUCUUUAUUUUACUGGAAUCUUGAGUGAUAACAAGGAGCUAAAUCCAAGUGAGAUUGAAUUCCUACUCAAUUACAUUUUAUGAUAAUAUUUAAAACUCUGGUUCUGAUAUUUGGAAGCACGGUAUAAAGGUGAUUUGCUUACAAGUGACUUUCUGAUACUUUUGCAGACUUCUAUAAUUGGAAUAGGGUCUAUGUAAGAUACUGUGAUGGUUCCUGCUUCACCGGUGACAAACAAGAAUCUUCGGUUAGUGUGGCGUGUUCAUGAUCAUUAGCAGCAAUCUAGUAGUAGGCUAUUGGCAACCGUUGGUUCAACAACCUGGUACUAACAAGUUGAUGUUUAUUUAUCCAAGUGAGGAGGAUUUAUUGCUCAAUUUUCAAUAACAGGUUGAUGGACCGUACUACAGAGGUGGUAGAGUUUUCUACGCUAUCAUGGACGAGCUUUUAGAACUUGGAAUGGAAAAUGCUAGCAAUGUAUGAUCUUCUGAAUCUUGAAUAAUCGUUUUCUGUUUAUCUCAAUCAGUCAGAAAAUCUUUAGGAACGCUUAGUCCAUUAUCCCUUGUGUUUAGUUUAAUCAAUCAAUGUGGGAAUUAUGGUUCAUGUGAAGGCGGAAGUAAAAGAACAUGUUCUGGUGGGGCUAAGCGAGUCUAAUCAGGAACUUGUAUGAAUCUGUUCACAACUGAUACUUGUAAUAUACAGGUAUUUCUUACGGGCAAUUCUGCAGGAGGAUUGGCAGCAAUGUAUCAUUGUGAUAGGUUCAAGAAUAUACUGCCUCGUUCUACUGAAGCUAAAUGCCUAGCUGAUGCUUCCUUUUUCAUUCAUCUGUAAGUCCUAAAGAUCUUAUGUGCUCAAGUUAAAUCUUCUCCCUAGGCGUUUAUGAAGCUAAGUAACGUAAACUUGGUGGCUUAUCAACAGAAACAAUCCUUCUGGCUUCGUAAACCUUCAUGUAAUUGUUCUCUAAGCCCUUUGUGUUCAUGUAUGACUUGAUUCAGUUUUGAGUCCAAGUCUUAGUUCACCAGCUAAAUCUAAAAGUGUUUUCUCAAUCUUCUAAUGCAGGGAUCAGUUACAUAUCUACCAUUAUCAUGCACAUCAAAGAUGGAUGCUGCCUCGGUACUUUUUUUUAUAAACUGUCAUGUUUUUCUUACUUUAAUUUAUAAAUAUGUCGAAUGUUGGAGUGAUAUCUAACCAAUCUCCAGUGCCUCUACCCCCGGAAUGUUGUUCCAGAUAUCCAGACUCCUAUGUUCCUCUUGAAUUCGGCAUAUGAUACUUUUCAAGUUAGUACUAAUUCAUUCAUUCUUUCUUUUUCUGAUGCAGUGAUUAUGUAUGUCAUCAUUUCUAUGAUUCUAACAAUUUCUUUUUCUUGUUUUCAGGUUGCAUCAACAAUCCGGUUGCCAGAAAAUUCAAAUCGUUCUUGCUUGUAUAAUCUAACUGGCUGCCCUACCGCUGUACUGGAUGCCUGGAUAAGUAAUUAACUUCAAAUUCCUCAGCAUCACAUCCCUUAGUUCUAUGCUCAUGUUAUUAUCUUGGAAAAUAAGCUUCUACUUUCCUACCCCAGAUUUUAGGACGAAGUUUUUGCAAGAAGUGACUGACUUGGGUAAUCUUUCCACGAGAGGCUUGUUCAUCAACGCGUGCCAUACUCAUUCCCAGUCUGAGUUUCAAAGUAAAUGGCUGGGGGAUCCCGAUUCUAUGCUUGAUAACAUGGUAAUUUAUCAGAAAUCUAUCUGACAAACGCGCUUAAAAUGUCAAUAUAUAUGUGAGAACUAAUAUAGUUAUCCAAAUUGCGAUGAACAGACAAUUUCAGAAGCUGUGGGAGAAUGGUAUAAUGACAAUAAGCUAAUCCAACUGAUUGACAGAGAACACAUCUAUCCCAGACAAUGCGUUGUCGAUGCUUCUGAGCCAUAUGCUUGCAACAACUAUACUAUUGGUGCAUCUUAUCUUUGUGACGUAAACCAAAACAAAUCAAACAUACCCAGUGUAUCUCACUCGUAUGACUGAGUGGAGCGUAAGAUGUAUUAUACUUGAACUAAAAAAAUGUAUUGAUAAAUAUAUAUAUUUGUGCACUUAUAUAAAUGUUUUAACCAUUUAUAUAUUUGGGGAAGUCGUCAAAAGUUGACAAUUUUAAGGCAAACUACUGAUUCCAAUAGGCGGGGAACCAAGAGUGACUUGCCACGUCAACUUUGACAACCUCGUGGCAAUCCUGUUGGAGAUGCUCAAAGCUAAAAACAUUCUUUCUUUUUAUUAUUUUUUGCAGUUAUUAAAAUUAGUUUACAUGUUCUGCAAAAAACCAUCCUUAACAGAUAUACUCCCCAUCCUUGCAACCAUCAUAUUAAAGUUCUCCAUCCCAGAACUCCUCGACUGACUUAAUAAGGCCAGUUUCAGAGAUAAAUAUCUCUCCGCGGCUUGUCCUACUCUGUGGGAUUUCAGCUAUAUUCUUGAAGUCUUCAUCGCUUAACUCCCAGUCGAAAAUAUCAAGAUUCUGCUUCAUUCUCAGUUUGUUGAAGCUCUUCAUCACAAUCACAACUCCUUGCUCAUAAAUCCAUCUCAAAGCCACCUGAGCUACAGAUUUUCCUUUCGACUCUGCAAUUUUCUUCAGAACCUCAGAUUCCAACACUCCGUUGCUUCCCCAAAAGGUACCUGAUCCUCCAAGUGGAGAAUAGGCUGCCACCAUGAUUCCAUUUGCAUUACAGAACUCUCUUAGCUUUCCUUGUUGCCAUGCUGGGUGCAUCUCCACCUUUGAUCAUAAAUUGAUCAGUAAGAGCAAAGUGUAAAAUAAUACCUCUGAAUAAAAUCCGGACUUACUUGAUUAAUAGCUGGAAGAAUCUUGGCAAAAGCAAGAAUAUUAUCAAGCAAUUUGCAAGAGAAAUUACUGACACCAAUUGAUUUCGUAAGGCCAAGUGUCUGGCACUCUUCCAUGGCUGUCCAAACAGAUUUGAUAUCCAUCGGGACAAUAUCUUCAACGUUUACUGGAAAAGGUACCCUGGGCUUCAUGCUCACUGGCCAAUGUAUAAGAUACUGAUCAACAUACGUGAACUUCAGCUUCCUGCACAAGAAUAAACACAUAAGGCCUUGGUUCAAGUAAAUACAAAUGAACAAG